UUAAAGUCUAACCUGCCCACUGAAUUAUUUAAAUGGCCGCAGUAUUCUAACUGUGCAAAGGUAGCAUAAUCAUUAGUCUUUUAAUUGAAGGCUGGAAUGAAUGGUUGGACGAGAUAUUAACUGUUUCAUUUAAAAUUUUUUUAGAAUUUUAUUUUUUAGUCAAAAAGCUAAAAUUUAAUUAAAAGACGAGAAGACCCUAUAAAUCUUUAUACUUUAUUUAUUUUAAAUGUAAAGGUUAUUUUUUUUAUAAUAAAAUAAAGUAUUUUAUUGGGGUGAUAUUAAAAUUUAAAAAACUUUUAAUUUGAUUAAAUCAUUAAUUUAUGAAUAGUUGAUCCAUUAAUAAUGAUUAAAAAUUUAAGUUACUUUAGGGAUAACAGCGUAAUUUUUUUGGAGAGUUCUUAUCGAUAAAAAAGAUUGCGACCUCGAUGUUGGAUUAAGAUAUAAUUUUGGGUGUAGCCGUUCAAAUUUUAAGUCUGUUCGACUUUUAAAUUCUUACAUGAUCUGAGUUCAGACCGGCGUAAGCCAGGUUGGUUUCUAUCUUUAAUAAAUUAUAAUAUUUUAGUACGAAAGGACCAAAUAUUAAAAUAAUUAUAUUUUUAUGUUGAAUAUCAUUAAAUUAA
RNAcentral lists this ribosomal RNA (620 nucleotides) under Drosophila mercatorum. RNAcentral's name for it is "partial 16S ribosomal RNA". It matches the Rfam family "Bacterial large subunit ribosomal RNA", at positions 1845 to 2779 of the family's 2925-position model. Lineage: Eukaryota; Metazoa; Arthropoda; Insecta; Diptera; Drosophilidae. The record is from RNAcentral.